This 76-nucleotide small nucleolar RNA is filed under the name Notechis scutatus (mainland tiger snake). The record is from RNAcentral. Lineage: Eukaryota; Metazoa; Chordata; Lepidosauria; Squamata; Elapidae.
UGGGAGUGAUGAAAACUCAAAGAGCCUGACCAACCCUUAUGCGUGGAGGCCAAAGCUGAUUUAAUGAGCCUGAUCC